This 253-nucleotide ribosomal RNA is filed under the name uncultured bacterium. RNAcentral describes it as "partial 16S ribosomal RNA". It matches the Rfam family "Bacterial small subunit ribosomal RNA", at positions 524 to 776 of the family's 1533-position model. The record is from RNAcentral.
UACAGAGGGGGCAAGCGUUAUUCGGAAUUAUUGGGCGUAAAGCGCGCGUAGGCGGAUCUGCAAGUCGGGGGUGAAAUCCCGAGGCUCAACCUCGGAACUGCCUUCGAUACUGCGGGUCUCGAGUCCGGGAGAGGUAAGUGGAAUUCCUAGUGUAGAGGUGAAAUUCGUAGAUAUUAGGAAGAACACCAGUGGCGAAGGCGGCUCACUGGCCCGGUACUGACGCUGAGGCGCGAAAGCGUGGGGAGCAAACAGG